Non-coding RNA from Lactuca sativa (garden lettuce), 1350 nucleotides. Lineage: Eukaryota; Viridiplantae; Streptophyta; Magnoliopsida; Asterales; Asteraceae. The record is from RefSeq and is a predicted model, not a curated record.
UCGAUUUGUUGACAGGUUUAGUUUGUUGCUUCCAUUUACAGCUAGGAAUCGAUGAAGCUUCUCAAUCACAACUCACCACCACUACCAUAUUUCUCUUUAUCUCCUUCUUCGUCCCUAUCUAAGAAACCAACAUGACCAGUCACCCACCACACCACCACUCUCUGGUUUUCCAUAAUAGACUCACACUCACACACCUAGAUCUAAAUACACACAUCUGGUUCUUUACGAUUUGCCUUUUUUAUUUGCUUUCAUAGAGGAUGAUGAAUUAGAAAACAACUAGAAGCCCCUUCUCUCUAAUGUUCUUUUAUUGCUUCAAAAGUUUCAUUUGUUAAUCAUCCUUUUCUUGAAAUGUUGAUCUUAAAAAAAAGUAACAGAGUAUUGGUUUGAAGAUUAGAUAUGCAUUUGGAUUUGGAAAAAGGAAUCGACCGGAGAAAAAAAAGGGUGGAGGGACAACACCAUUCGGUCAUGGUGAUUUGGGGGAAAAGGAGACAAAUGAGGAAUCAGAAAUCGAUUGGAGAGAAAGGGUGAAAGGAAACCCUAGAUUUUUAUUCCUUUUUUUUUUUUCAUGUUUUACGCCUUUAGGAAAUGAAAUUCCUGGAUCAUCAUAGUUGACCUCAAAAGUUCUUCCUUUUGACAUAACCAUGGGUGUUAAUGGCAUUUUUAUUGGAUUUAUCAAGUAAUUAACACCUACAGACCAGCACCUACUAUAUGGUUCGAACAUGCCCCUGAUCUUGAUUGAUAUUGGCUAACUGAAGUAAAAGAGAAAUAGUUAAUAGUAAUUACUAUCUAAUUCCAAAUGGACCACACCUUACCAUGGAAGGAGUAGGAGAGGAUAAGAUUCAAAUGUUGUAAUGGGUUUCUUAUCUUAUGUUUUGUGAAAUUUUCUUAAAUACUUGAACCCGCUUUGACUGAUUUAAAAAAGAAGCCCAAGAAGGAAAAGCUACAUUUUUAGACAAAAAGGAGUAUGUUUCACUAAUUUAUCGGCGGUUGAUGGCUUCCGAUUACCUAAAUGUCCUGUUGAUGGACUGGGGGUUAAAGUUUAUAAAUUACUACCAUAAAGUUUUAACAUCAAACCAUCUUUGGGUGUUUGUGAAGCAUGAAUUGAGUUUACUUGUUCAAAGAUGAUCCCAAUCUAUUUGUGGUAAGCUAAAUACGAGUAAUACUCAUUGUGAAUUUACUUACCGGUGUUUUAAGCACUACGUAAUAUCAUGAAAUUCCAAAUAAAUGAUGAAAUAGUUUCAUUAAACACUUCUUUGCUAAAAUUGUUUCAUUUUAUCGAUCAAAUUAGAUAUAAUAAUUAAUGUAAAUAAAAACAUUAUAAUUAGUAGACAUAAAGUUAGUUGAUGCAAU